This 501-nucleotide ribosomal RNA is filed under the name uncultured bacterium. RNAcentral's name for it is "partial 16S ribosomal RNA". It matches the Rfam family "Bacterial small subunit ribosomal RNA", at positions 30 to 523 of the family's 1533-position model. The record is from RNAcentral.
AUUGAACGCUGGCGGCAGGCUUAACACAUGCAAGUCGAGCGGGGGAAGGUAGCUUGCUACCGGACCUAGCGGCGGACGGGUGAGUAAUGCUUAGGAAUCUGCCUAUUAGUGGGGGACAACAUCUCGAAAGGGAUGCUAAUACCGCAUACGUCCUACGGGAGAAAGCAGGGGAUCUUCGGACCUUGCGCUAAUAGAUGAGCCUAAGUCGGAUUAGCUAGUUGGUGGGGUAAAGGCCUACCAAGACGACGAUCUGUAGCGGGUCUGAGAGGAUGAUCCGCCACACUGGGACUGAGACACGGCCCAGACUCCUACGGGAGGCAGCAGUGGGGAAUAUUGGACAAUGGGGGAGACCCUGAUCCAGCCAUGCCGCGUGUGUGAAGAAGGCCUUAUGGUUGUAAAGCACUUUAAGCGAGGAGGAGGCUACUCUAGUUAAUACCUAGGGAUAGUGGACGUUACUCGCAGAAUAAGCACCGGCUAACUCUGUGCCAGCCGCCGCGGUAA